GGUUACAUAGGUAUGGAAAAAACUGCUUCGCUUGAUGACUAAGAUAAGAAAGAUGUAUUAAUUAGCAAGAAAAAUGUAUUUGGAGGUUAAUUUCUAAGAGUGUCUACUGGUACAAACGAUUCAGUUACUAUGUCUAAUCAAAAUAUGUUGACGAAUCAAAAUAGUUUGCAAUGAGUCUGAAUUAUGACUGAGCAUUUUUUAUCUGCAGUUCUGUCGUCUGCUAAAGAAAGCACUGACAAUUUCCACUUGGAUUAAUAAUUCUUCUAUGGGUAAACGUGUGCUGCAAUUGAUUGAGGGUAAUAUAGCAAAAAAAAACGUCGUUCUACCAUGGGUCAAGCACUCAAGCGAAGACAAGAAUUAAGACGAUAGUAUGGUUAAACAGAUACAAAUGUAUUAACAUUAGUGUUACGAUUGUCUGGUAACAUCAACAACGACAGAAUUGUUUUAUCGACAGAGACAAUACACGUGAUCGCUAUUUGUCCGUUACUGGAUUUCACACAGGUUCCAUUAAAAUGUUGACGUCAUAAUACAAAAUAUCUGACACCACAAUGGAAAACUGUUUGUCGUUUGACGUCAAUAGUUCAAGCGGUACAGGAUCUCGGGUCAGCCUGGAAUAACGAUAAGGUCACGGUGCCAGAUUUAGGGAACCAAAGUUCCUCUUAUGGAGCAACACAUAGACUAUUCGAACGUUUACUAGUCUGAGAACACGGGGAUUUCCCUUUGUUCAAAAUCCUCGGUCUCCAUCUGAUCAAUGCAGAAAACACAAAAGGAGUUUUUC
Long non-coding RNA from Mytilus trossulus (common blue mussel), 778 nucleotides. RefSeq lists it as uncharacterized. NCBI's taxonomy places the organism in Eukaryota, Metazoa, Mollusca, Bivalvia, Mytilida, Mytilidae. The record is from RefSeq and is a predicted model, not a curated record. The transcript has 3 exons.